RNAcentral lists this ribosomal RNA (232 nucleotides) under uncultured bacterium. RNAcentral describes it as "partial 16S ribosomal RNA". It matches the Rfam family "Bacterial small subunit ribosomal RNA", at positions 8 to 240 of the family's 1533-position model. The record is from RNAcentral.
AGAGUUUGAUCCUGGCUCAGGACGAACGCUGGCGGCGUGGAUUAGGCAUGCAAGUCGAACGGUAGGGUGCUUUCGGGCACCUGAGAGUGGCGAACGGGUGAGUAACACGUAGGUUAUCUACCCUCAAAUUGGGGACAACCCAGGGAAACUUGGGCUAAUACCGAAUGAGUGCAUCGGUGAUGGUGCAUAAAAGAUGGCGUAAGCUGUUGUUUGAGGAUGAGCCUGCGCUCUA